CUGCGUGGAAGGGCCAUCGCUCAACGGAUAAAAGCUACCCUGGGGAUAACAGGCUUAUCUCCCCCAAGAGUCCACAUCGACGGGGAGGUUUGGCACCUCGAUGUCGGCUCAUCACAUCCUGGGGCUGUAGUAGGUCCCAAGGGUUGGGCUGUUCGCCCAUUAAAGUGGUACGCGAGCUGGGUUCAGAACGUCGUGAGACAGUUCGGUCCCUAUCCGUCGCAGGCGUAGGAAAGUUGAGAAGACCUGUCCUUAGUACGAGAGGACCGGGAUGGACGUACCUCUGGUGUACCAGUUGUCCUGCCAAGGGCAUGGCUGGGUAGCUAUGUACGGAAUGGAUAAGCGCUGAAAGCAUCUAAGCGCGAAGCCAACUUCAAGAUAAGAUUUCCCACCGCAAGGGUAAGACCCCAGAAAGACUAUCUGGUUGAUAGGUCGAAGGUGUAAGUGCAGCAAUGUAU
This 455-nucleotide ribosomal RNA is filed under the name Clostridioides difficile. RNAcentral's name for it is "bacterial LSU rRNA". It matches the Rfam family "Bacterial large subunit ribosomal RNA", at positions 2429 to 2886 of the family's 2925-position model. Lineage: Bacteria; Bacillati; Bacillota; Clostridia; Peptostreptococcales; Peptostreptococcaceae. The record is from RNAcentral.